GAAGUAAAAGUCGUAACAAGGUCUCCGUUGGUGAACCAGCGGAGGGAUCAUUAUCGAGUUACACAACUCCCAAACCCAUGUGAACUUACCUGACGUUGCUUCGGCGGACCGCCCCGGUGCCUAAACGCGCCGGAACCAGGCGCCCGCCGGGGGACCGAAACACUCUUGUUUUUUUCUACGCGGAAUUCUGAGUGGCAUUUAUUACAAAUAAAUCAAAACUUUCAACAACGGAUCUCUUGGUUCUGGCAUCGAUGAAGAACGCAGCGAAAUGCGAUAAGUAGUGUGAAUUGCAGAAUUCAGUGAAUCAUCGAAUCUUUGAACGCACAUUGCGCCCGCCAGCAUUCUGGCGGGCAUGCCUGUUCGAGCGUCAUUUCAACCCUCAAGACCCCUUCCCUUUCGGGGGGACGGGCCUUGGUGUUGGCGGCCGGCUGCCUACCCUGCGCAGCCGCCGCCGAAAUGCAGGGGCGGUCGCCUCGCGGUAACCAUUACGCAGUAGUGACAUCUCGUAACUGGGACGCGGAGCGGCCACGCCUAACCCCCAAUUCUUUCUAGAGUGACCUC
This 561-nucleotide unclassified non-coding RNA is filed under the name Acremonium cavaraeanum. RNAcentral describes it as "sequence contains ITS1, 5.8S rRNA gene and ITS2". The stretch from base 217 to 370 matches the Rfam family "5.8S ribosomal RNA". Lineage: Eukaryota; Fungi; Ascomycota; Sordariomycetes; Hypocreales; Bionectriaceae. The record is from RNAcentral.